RNAcentral lists this unclassified non-coding RNA (224 nucleotides) under plant metagenome. Its description in RNAcentral is "partial contains small subunit ribosomal RNA and internal transcribed spacer 1". The stretch from base 1 to 47 matches the Rfam family "Eukaryotic small subunit ribosomal RNA", at positions 1785 to 1831 of the family's 1831-position model. The record is from RNAcentral.
AAUGUCGUAACAAGGUUUCCGUAGGUGAACCUGCGGAAGGAUCAUUACAGAGAACCUGCCCUCCGGGGUUAGAUCUCCCACCCUUUGCUUACCUCACCUUUGUUGCUUUGGGCCAGGGCCCGUCCCCCGGGGUACCGCCGGCUCCGGCUGGCCCAGCGCCUGUCAGAGGACCCCCGAAACUCUUGUUUAAUUGUCGUCUGAGUACUAUAUAAUAAGGUUAAAAG